GGCUCGGUAGCUCAGUUAGUAGAGCAUCAGACUGAAAAUCUGAGUGUCGCCGGUGCGAUCCCGGCCUGAGCCACCA
Molecule: transfer RNA, 76 nt
Filed under: Erysipelotrichaceae bacterium
Lineage: Bacteria; Bacillati; Bacillota; Erysipelotrichia; Erysipelotrichales; Erysipelotrichaceae
Description: tRNA-Phe
Rfam family: tRNA
About the family: Transfer RNA (tRNA) molecules are approximately 80 nucleotides in length.
Source: RNAcentral